This 546-nucleotide ribosomal RNA is filed under the name Triticum aestivum (bread wheat). Its description in RNAcentral is "partial small subunit ribosomal RNA". Lineage: Eukaryota; Viridiplantae; Streptophyta; Magnoliopsida; Poales; Poaceae. The record is from RNAcentral.
AUGAAAGCUCUAUUCUGGAACAUUACGGAUUUUGGUGCUACGGGGCGUCGAGACCAAAUCAGAGAUGUUGUUCGUGGUGAUAAUAUUGACAUAGUUGGGCUAGUUGAAACUUUUAGAGAUUCCUUCUCCCCUAAUGAGCUUUCUGCGAUUAUGGGCAUGGAAAGAUUCGACUGGCAUGUCCUUCCUUUUUCUGGGCACUCGGUAGGGAUUCUGAUUGGAUCUAAACGGGACGUGUUUGAUUUUGUGGAUUUUGAUCAUGGGAUCUUUUGGGCAAGUAUUGUUGUGUAUCACAAAUCUCUUAACACUUUGUGGGAAUUCAUGGUUGUUUAUGGCCCAGCAGACCACUCACUGACCUCCCUCUUUCUGGAUGAAUUAUCUGCUAAGAUCGAGGCUUGUACUAUUCCGAUAGUUAUCGGCGGUGAUUUUAACCUCCUUCGUACACCCUCGGACAAGAGUAACUCUAAAUUUUCCUGGCCUUUGGGAAACGCUUUCAACGAUUUUAUUAGCAACUGUGCCAUUCGCGAGCUCCCUAGGGUUGGAGCCUGA